RNAcentral lists this ribosomal RNA (247 nucleotides) under uncultured bacterium. RNAcentral's name for it is "partial 16S ribosomal RNA". It matches the Rfam family "Bacterial small subunit ribosomal RNA", at positions 86 to 334 of the family's 1533-position model. The record is from RNAcentral.
AGAUGGCGACCGGCGCACGGGUGAGUAACACGUAUCCAACCUGCCGAUAACUCGGGGAUAGCCUUUCGAAAGAAAGAUUAAUACCCGAUGGCAUAAUAGAACCGCAUGGUUUGAUUAUUAAAGAAUUUCGGUUAUCGAUGGGGAUGCGUUCCAUUAGGCAGUUGGUGGGGUGACGGCCCACCAAACCUUCGAUGGAUAGGGGUUCUGAGAGGAAGGUCCCCCACAUUGGAACUGAGACACGGUCCAA